This 444-nucleotide ribosomal RNA is filed under the name uncultured bacterium. Its description in RNAcentral is "bacterial SSU rRNA". It matches the Rfam family "Bacterial small subunit ribosomal RNA", at positions 28 to 455 of the family's 1533-position model. The record is from RNAcentral.
AACGAACGUUGGCGGCGUGGAUUAGGCAUGCAAGUCGAACGAGAAAGCACCCUUCGGGGUGUGAGUAAAGUGGCGAACGGGUGAGUAACGCGUGGGGAACCUGCCCUUGAGUGGGGGAUAACGUUCCUAACGGAGCGCUAAUACCGCAUAACACCGGAACCAGGCAUCUGGAUCCGGUCGAAGAUGGCCUCUGUUUCAAGCUGUCGCUUAAGGAUGGCCCCGCGUCCGAUUAGCUUGUUGGUGGGGUAACGGCCUACCAAGGCUACGAUCGGUAGCCGGCCUGAGAGGGUGUCCGGCCACACUGGGACUGAGAUACGGCCCAGACUCCUACGGGAGGCAGCAGUCGAGAGGCUUCGGCAAUGGGGGAAACCCUGACCGAGCGACGCCGCGUGGGUGAGGAAGGUCUUCGGAUCGUAAAACCCUGUCAGGGGGGACGAAAACCGG